RNAcentral lists this ribosomal RNA (361 nucleotides) under Clostridioides difficile. Its description in RNAcentral is "partial 23S ribosomal RNA". It matches the Rfam family "Bacterial large subunit ribosomal RNA", at positions 531 to 891 of the family's 2925-position model. Lineage: Bacteria; Bacillati; Bacillota; Clostridia; Peptostreptococcales; Peptostreptococcaceae. The record is from RNAcentral.
GAGGGGAGUGAAAUAGAACCUGAAACCCUGCACUUACAAGCUGUGGAAGCACAUUUCUUGUGUGACCGCGUACUUUUUGUAGAACGGGCCAACGAGUUACGUUAAGUAGCAAGGUUAAGCACUUAAGGUGUGGAGCCGUAGCGAAAGCGAGUUUUAACUGAGCGUUCAGUUACUUGACGUAGACCCGAAACCGGGCGACCUACCCAUGAGCAGGAUGAAGCGAAAGUAAAAUUUCGGGGAGGUCCGAACCCACGAGCGUUGAAAAGCUCGGGGAUGACUUGUGGGUAGCGGUGAAAUUCCAAUCGAGCCCGGAGAUAGCUGGUUCUCCCCGAAAUAGCUUUAGGGCUAGCCUCAAGGUGAG